GACGAACGCUGGCGGCGUGCCUAAUACAUGCAAGUCGAACGAACCGACGGAGAAACUUGUUUCUCUUGACGUGAGUGGCGGGCGGGUGAGUAACACGUGGGAAACCUACCCUCUAGCGGGGGAUAACUAUCGGAAACGGUAGCUAAUACCGCAUAAACCUUAAGCUCGCAUGAGCUUAAGUUGAAAGACGGCUUUUGCUGUCACUAGAGGAUGGUCCCGCGGCGCAUUAGUUAGUUGGUGGGGUAACGGCCUACCAAGACGAUGAUGUAUAGCCGACCUGAGAGGGUGAUCGGCCACACUGGGACUGAGACACGGCCCAG
Molecule: ribosomal RNA, 320 nt
Filed under: uncultured bacterium
Lineage: Bacteria
Description: bacterial SSU rRNA
Rfam family: Bacterial small subunit ribosomal RNA
Source: RNAcentral